AACGGGUGAGUAACGCGUAUGCAACCUGCCUGUAACCGGGCCAUAGCCCCGAGAAAUCGGGAUUAAUAGCCCAUAUUAUCCCUUAGUCGCCUGACUUCGGGAUGAAAGCUCCGGCGGUUACAGAUGGGCAUGCGUGACAUUAGCUMGUUGGUGAGGUAAUAGCUCACCAAGGCGACGAUGUCUAGGGGGUCUGAGAGGAUGAUCCCCCACACUGGUACUGAGACACGGACCAGACUCCUACGGGAGGCAGCAGUGAGGAAUAUUGCGCAAUGGAGGAAACUCUGACGCAGCCAUGCCGCGUGCAGGAUGACAGCCCUACGGGUUGUAAACUGCUUUUCUGCAGGAAGAACCUUCCGUACGUGUACGGAACUGACGGUACUGCAGGAAUAAGCAUCGGCUAACUCCGUG
RNAcentral lists this ribosomal RNA (408 nucleotides) under uncultured bacterium. RNAcentral describes it as "bacterial SSU rRNA". It matches the Rfam family "Bacterial small subunit ribosomal RNA", at positions 101 to 507 of the family's 1533-position model. The record is from RNAcentral.